AGGACGAACGCUGGCGGCGUGCUUAACACAUGCAAGUCGAGCGGUAAGGCCUUUCGGGGUACACGAGCGGCGAACGGGUGAGUAACACGUGGGUGAUCUGCCCUGCACUCUGGGAUAAGCCUGGGAAACUGGGUCUAAUACCGGAUAUGACCUGCUCUCGCAUGGGGGUGGGUGGAAAGAUUUAUCGGUGCAGGAUGGGCCCGCGGCCUAUCAGCUUGUUGGUGGGGUAAUGGCCUACCAAGGCGACGACGGGUAGCCGACCUGAGAGGGUGACCGGCCACACUGGGACUGAGACACGGCCCAGACUCCUACGGGAGGCAGCAGUGGGGAAUAUUGCACAAUGGGCGAAAGCCUGAUGCAGCGACGCCGCGUGAGGAUGACGGCCUCGGUUGUAAACCUCUUCUAGCAGGACGAAGCGCAAGUAGACGGUACCUAGCAGAAGAAGACGAACCGGCCGUAAACUAACGUAGCCAACGCACGCCGCC
This 485-nucleotide ribosomal RNA is filed under the name uncultured soil bacterium. RNAcentral describes it as "bacterial SSU rRNA". It matches the Rfam family "Bacterial small subunit ribosomal RNA", at positions 26 to 535 of the family's 1533-position model. The record is from RNAcentral.